UGUAAUGAAUGUCUUGUGAGCGCGGCGGCUAUCCCCUUAAUCCUCUUUAGCGUAUGCUAAACUGACUGUCAACUUUAUUCCUUCCAUCUCAAUAGUUCACCAUAUUCUAAUAAAUCUUUGGAGUUUUUACUAGAUCGGUCAUCAUAUCUUGCCCGUCACUUGGUCUCCUGAUGCCCAUGGCUCGUGUAGUUCGAAGCCUUUAAUCAACGUUACCAUUUCGUAACACCGGAGGGAAAGGCAUGAUGAAUGAGAAUCCGGCGUCGGAACAAUAAGCUUUGUGCGCCUUCGUCCUAUUCGGGUCACCUGACUGCAUUUAUUGUGACGUAGGCGCAACCUAAGGAGGCCAGACAUGUAUAUCUUUUAUUCUCUCUUUCCAUCUCAGUCUUUCACUAUAUUCUUAUAAAUAGUUGAAACUUUUACAGCGAUUCUUCAUUUCUAUCCCAUUGCCUUGUCUCCUGAUGCCCAUGGCGAUCGUCUAGCCCGAAGCAUUUAGGCAAUACUACCUUUUCAAACACCGGACGGCAAGCCACGAGAAACAAGGAUACGGCGUCGGAACACUAAGGUACCGAGACCAGCGGUGGGUAUUCUAGCGCUUAUCAACGUUUCAGCAGUGGGAAUUUUGUUGGCAGCGCACAUUGCACUUGUAGCAACUGAUCUUCAGGAGGACUGCCCCUUGAGGAGCAGCCGUCGAGGCUGCAUAUAUAGGGGUUACAUUAUUCCUGCGACACAAAGCAGGAACUUGCAUCGUCCCUGUGUACAUGCUCAAUGCAGCAGCAAUGGGCACAGACUUACACUGACAGGGUGCCAAGAAACCGCUGGAAACUGCUCGGACGCCCCGGGGGGGCCAAGUAUUGAUCCAAGAGAAUGGCCUCGCUGCUGUGCUAAUUGCCCUCGAGUACAGAUAAAUGCUUGAAAAGACGCCGCUGAGAAUUAACGCAGUCCAAUGAAAUUGUCAUGCCUUCAUAAAAGUGAUAUCAUCCGGCAUGAAGGAUGUCCGUACGUUUAUUUACUAUAAUGUUAGCCAGCAUCACUUUGUCUAGGGCAUUGUGCUUAAUAAA
RNAcentral lists this long non-coding RNA (1058 nucleotides) under Dermacentor andersoni. Its description in RNAcentral is "uncharacterized LOC126529380". The record is from RNAcentral. Lineage: Eukaryota; Metazoa; Arthropoda; Arachnida; Ixodida; Ixodidae.